AAGUCGUAACAAGGUCUCCGUUGGUGAACCAGCGGAGGGAUCAUUACAGGACUCGCAAGACUCCCGUAAACCACUGUGAACCUACCCAUCGUUGCCUCGGCGGGCGCCCGGGCUCAGCGCUCGGCCCGCCGGCGGCCCUUUACCCUGAUUUUUUUAUACGCAUCUCGGAGCAAUAUACAAACGAAUCAAAACUUUCAACAACGGAUCUCUUGGUUCUG
Molecule: unclassified non-coding RNA, 218 nt
Filed under: air metagenome
Description: partial contains small subunit ribosomal RNA, internal transcribed spacer 1, and 5.8S ribosomal RNA
Rfam family: Eukaryotic small subunit ribosomal RNA (bases 1-46)
Source: RNAcentral